RNAcentral lists this ribosomal RNA (253 nucleotides) under uncultured bacterium. RNAcentral's name for it is "partial 16S ribosomal RNA". It matches the Rfam family "Bacterial small subunit ribosomal RNA", at positions 524 to 776 of the family's 1533-position model. The record is from RNAcentral.
UACGUAGGGGGCAAGCAUUGUCCGGAUUUACUGGGCGUAAAGAGCGCGUAGGCGGACGUUUAAGUGUGGCCUGAAAGCCCCCGGCUCAACCGGGGAUCCGGGUUGCAAACUGGACGUCUUGAGGGGGAUAGGGGAAGGUGGAAUUCCUGGUGUAGCGGUGAAAUGCGCAGAUAUCAGGAAGAACACCCGUGGCGAAGGCGGCUCUCUGGGACGGUACUGACGCUGAGACGCGAAAGCGUGGGGAGCGAACAGG